AAUAUAAUGUAUAAAUAUUUCUUUUCUAACAGCAAAGUGUUGAAAUGGGUAAUACAGCCGGCUUUUGUGGCGCAGAAUGGCGAUCCUGGACGCAUUUCAAUAUUUUCUGCAACAAUCCAUGCGAUUUCCUGAAAAUAAAAACAUCAAAUACAGACAUACACACAUACCGAUAAUCAUGAUGUACGAAUUACUUACUUCAUGUCUGUCUCCAUAAUCUUCAAUCGGUCCUCCAUAAUCUUCAAUCGUUCUUCUAUUUUCCUAUAUUCUACGCUUGACAGACAGCAUGUCCUUCGCUCUCCUCACGUUGGUAAGAUACAUCCUGUUGCAUAGGCAAGGUGUCCUGCAGCUGAGACAAUAUAUCAUUAGUAUAGUACAUUUUGUCAGACUCAGCAAUGGCACCUGCUGCUCCUGUAGCUGUUCCUUCUCCGCUUUGAACCCUCGUCAGAAGAAGUUGUUUGAUAGCGCAAUGGCUUGGGAACAAUGCGCUUUUGCCGUUCCAUCUAAACAAACGGAUUCAUAUUCAAACGUUGGACGAAGUAAAACCAAAGUAUUGAGUAUGAAAAAUGCAAGCACUCAAACACGCUAUGAAUUAUGGGUGUGUUCCGUACGUGUAACAUGCGGCUUCAAUGUGGUAUCCUUAGAGUUGAAAUCACAAAUUCGUCGAGUACAAGUUAUUACGAUUACAAUUGAACUCGGAAUGACCGUUAGACGGCUUCUGCCCACAAAACACGGAAACAUUUGGCGCGCGGCAAAAAGCAACAUGGUAGCCAAUGAAAAACCGUCUUUCCGUAACGUCUUACACAUCACAUAGCAUCACACGCAUACGUGAAACGGAACACACUCUGGAGUGCGUUCGGAUUCCCUACUCGAGUGUCCCCUGCUACCCAAAAGCCGUUCAGAUUCUCUCCGGCUCUCCUCAAAGUUACUAGGAAUAGCGUUCGGAUUCCUAGUCGAGAGCUCUCGGAGAGACUCUCAACUCACCUAGCUAUUGGAGCCGGGUCGUCGAGUGAGUAAGUUGAAAAAGCGCGAAACUGCCAAAUUCAAGUAUCUUUGUAUUUCUUAGUGCGUAUAUGUGAAUGAGUCAUAUGUUUGUUUGAUUUCGUAUUACAUUCGUAUUUCAUUUGAACAAUUAUAUGAUGGAGCUGAAAAACUUAAAAUUAUGUACCAACGAAAGCGGACACGUCAUUUUACAAAACAAUAGAUUUGUCGCAUUUGAUUGCAAAGCCGAAUGAUUAAUACAUCUUCCAAAUAAGGAGAAUGUUCGUAAAUAUUUCAACAUAACACACAUGUCGGAUGUAGAAAAGGAACAAUACAUCAAAGAAUAUGACAAAGAGGAAAAUAAAAAUACUGCAGCUAUUAGUAUCAAACAACAAGCUUCUUGGAAAGAUGAUAAUGCUGUCAAGGCACUUGUUCGUGAAUGGAAGUUGCAUGAAGAGAAAUUUAAGAGUACUACUAUCACAAAUGACAAAGUAUGGAAUAUGAUCGCUGUCAAAUUAAUGAAGGAAAAUCCUCUUUGGGAGUACACUGCAAAGUGUGAAAAUUAAUUUAAAGAUAUUCGGAAGAAUUAUAUAAAACUAAGGACAACAAUGUGAACAAGAGUGGACAAGAUUUGCAAACAUGUAAAUUCUAUGAAGAAAUAGACGAAGUUUUUGGUGAAAUGCCUAUUAUUCAACCUGUGGCUAUCGCUUCUACCCUAAAGAAACACAAGCGUUCAACAUUUCACAGUACGUCUGAUUCAUCUGAAGACGAGGAGAAUGUGAAAAAUUCUGGUCAGAAACCUAAGAAGAAAAGUAAAAUUAGCAUCGAGUUAAAUAAAUGGGUACUUUUACAACAAGAAGCAAAUGUUGUACGAGAGCAAGCUAAAAAAAGGCGACAUGAGAAAAAGAUGCAGCGCCAAGAUGAAGCAAUUAAGAUAUACAACGAUAAUAUGAAA
This is an RNA transcript of Harpegnathos saltator (Jerdon's jumping ant), 1933 nucleotides long. RefSeq lists it as uncharacterized. The transcript has 8 exons. Lineage: Eukaryota; Metazoa; Arthropoda; Insecta; Hymenoptera; Formicidae. The record is from RefSeq and is a predicted model, not a curated record.